UCAUAAAUGCAUCUUUUUCUUAACAGCAAUUCUUAUCAUUUCUUUUGUCUCAUCAACUUAGUGGUUUUUUUUUUUUUUUUUUUUUUCCCUGCCAGAAUCAUUGAAGAGAAAUAUGAAACAAGAAUUAGUUCCAAGAAGAACACCUCUGGAUGUCAUUGGUAACCUCCCCCAGCCCAAUACAUUCCAUUCAGCUUUGCUCUGAGCACUGUUUUCCUCUGUGCUUGCAACGCAACAACCCAUGUUGUUGAUCUUUUGAAUUCUAAUCUUCUUCAGAAUUGCUAAUAAUUUCCCUAUCAAACUACUGUCCAUUCUUUAGUAUCUGCCCCAAAAUUGUCUAGUGAUGUCGUUGAUGCCCUGUUCCUGGAGACUUUCAAGGUGAGGCUGGAUAAGCUCUGGGCAACCUGACCUAGCUGUGGUGUCCCUGCUUAUUGCAGGGGAGUUGGACUAGAUGGCCCUCCAAGUCCAUCUAGUCCAACCGUAAGGAUUCUAUGAUUCUAAUAUCAAGCAUCACACAAAAUGUGCAAGCUGGUAUCAAGCUUGACAUUUCAUCUCACUUGUAUCUAUGUCUUUUGUUAUACUUAAAACCCCUUCUUUAAGGUACCCUUCCAGUGAGCAUAGCAGACCUACAUUUACCCAAGUUACAAUUUUCUCUGCCCUCUUCCAAAGUAUGAAACGUAGCUAAGAAGUGGAGGAAGGAGUACCUUAGCUUUUCCCUAGAUCUCUGGCAUCACGUUGACUCCCACAACUGCACUUCCCUGUUCUACUUGCAGUUUUCAAGUCCCUGGGAGCUGAGUUCUUUCCAGUUCUUGCCUUGCACACUGCUUCAUUUCAAGCCACGCAGGGAUGCGCAAAACCGCCUACGCCGCUUAAGCAACGCGAAGCCUGCGAAGAGGAGCGCUGGGGCGGGCNNNNNNNNNNNNNNNNNNNNNNNNNGUGGGGCGGGGGCACCCCCCGGCCACGGGUUCGGAGCCGGGGAGCGCGGGUCGGCCCGGCCGCGCUUACAGCAGGUAUAUGGGGCGAGGGGGGGGACGGGACCGGGGUUCGCCUCGUGGAGCGCCGUCCGGGCGUCUGUGGGGUGGCGUGACCCGCUGUGCGGGGCUUCCUUCCGACGGCUCCGCGCCGCUCCGCGUGCCCUCAGUGGGAGCAGCCGGGCGCCGCCAUGCGCGGGCAGGCAGCGCGGCGGAGGCCUGGCGCCCCGGGCUGCGGUUUUCUUCUUGCUCGCACGGACGUACAUCAGCAGGUCGUUGUUCGUAGUGCUUGUCCAAAAUGGCACCCACCUGCUGACCGGGCCUGCUGCUGGGCUCCCAGUGCGGGUGUGUGUGCCAGCGCCUCCAGUCCUUCAGAGCUUGCAGGGAAGCAGUUCGCUGCUGCUUUGCAGUAAGGUUGGAAAUGGUGCAAUCUACACGAAAAAGUGGAUCCUGUGUUAUACAACUUCUUGGUUUUUUUUAGCCGUGGAUGUCCUGUGUAAGAUGUGGGUGUUAGGAAGCCUACGCUUGCCCUCAGCCUUGGCAGCAGCGCUGUGUGUGCAGAUGAUGACUCAAAUUCUCUUAAUUCUUUUUUUCCAGUGG
Molecule: long non-coding RNA, 1568 nt
Filed under: Chrysolophus pictus (golden pheasant)
Lineage: Eukaryota; Metazoa; Chordata; Aves; Galliformes; Phasianidae
Description: lncRNA (ENSCPIG00010014268.1)
Source: RNAcentral